GACGAACGCUGGCGGCGUGCUUAACACAUGCAAGUCGAACGGAAAGGCCCCUUUGGGGGUACUCGAGUGGCGAACGGGUGAGUAACACGUGGAUAACCUACCUAUAAGACUGGGAUAACUUCGGGAAACCGGAGCUAAUACCGGAUAAUAUUUUGAACCGCAUGGUUCAAAAGUGAAAGACGGUCUUGCUGUCACUUAUAGAUGGAUCCGCGCUGCAUUAGCUAGUUGGUAAGGUAACGGCUUACCAAGGCAACGAUGCAUAGCCGACCUGAGAGGGUGAUCGGCCACACUGGAACUGAGACACGGUCCAGACUCCUACGGGAGGCAGCAGUAGGGAAUCUUCCGCAAUGGGCGAAAGCCUGACGGAGCAACGCCGCGUGAGUGAUGAAGGUCUUCGGAUCGUAAAACUCUGUUAUUAGGGAAGAACAUAUGUGUAAGUAACUGUGCACAUCUUGACGGUACCUAAUCAGAAAGCCACGGCUAACUACGUG
This 491-nucleotide ribosomal RNA is filed under the name uncultured bacterium. RNAcentral describes it as "partial 16S ribosomal RNA". It matches the Rfam family "Bacterial small subunit ribosomal RNA", at positions 28 to 507 of the family's 1533-position model. The record is from RNAcentral.